UAGUAAUGGCGAAUGAAGAGGGAAAAGCCCAAAUUUGUAAUCUGGCUCUUUCAGAGUCCGAGUUGUAAUUUUAAGAACUGUUUUCAGUGCUGGACCAUGUACAAGUCUGUUGAAAAGCAGCAUCAUAGAAGGUGAUAAUCCUGUUCAUGAUAUGGACUACCAGUGCAAUAUGAUACAGUCUCUAAGAGUCGAGUUGUUUGGGAAUGCAGCUCAAAGUGGGUGGUAAAUUCCAUCUAAGGCUAAAUAUUGAUGAGAGACCGAUAGCAAACAAGUACCGUGAGGGAAAGAUGAAAAGAACUUUGGAAAGAGAGUUAACAGUACGUGAAAUUGUUAAAAGGGAAACAAUUGAAGUUAGACUUGUUAUUAUUAGUUCAACCUUUUUUUAGAGGAGUAUUCUAAUGAUUAACAGACCAACAUCAGUUUUUGGGUGUUGGAUAAGGGUUCAAGGAAAUGUAGCAGUCUCUGGCUGUGUUAUAGUCCUGAGCUUUGAUACAAUGCUUAAGAUUGAGGAAUGCAGUAAGC
This 522-nucleotide ribosomal RNA is filed under the name Puccinia seijoensis. Its description in RNAcentral is "partial large subunit ribosomal RNA". It matches the Rfam family "Eukaryotic large subunit ribosomal RNA", at positions 81 to 607 of the family's 3401-position model. Lineage: Eukaryota; Fungi; Basidiomycota; Pucciniomycetes; Pucciniales; Pucciniaceae. The record is from RNAcentral.